RNAcentral lists this transfer RNA (69 nucleotides) under Ictidomys tridecemlineatus (thirteen-lined ground squirrel). RNAcentral's name for it is "Spermophilus tridecemlineatus (thirteen-lined ground squirrel) tRNA". It matches the Rfam family "tRNA". Rfam says of the family: Transfer RNA (tRNA) molecules are approximately 80 nucleotides in length. Their secondary structure includes four short double-helical elements and three loops (D, anti-codon, and T loops). RNAcentral also lists the same sequence under 1 other name. The record is from Rfam by way of RNAcentral. Lineage: Eukaryota; Metazoa; Chordata; Mammalia; Rodentia; Sciuridae.
GGGGUUGUGGCUCAGUGGUAGAGCGCUUGCCUAGCAUGUGUGAGGCACUAGGUUCAAUUCUCAGCACCA